CCUGCCCAAUGAAUCAAAAUUUUAAUGGCCGCAGUAAUUUGACUGUGCUAAGGUAGCAUAAUAAUUAGUUUCUUAAUUAGAAGCUGGAAUGAAAGGUUUGAUGAAAAAAUAACUGUCUCUAUUAAAAUUAUUUAUAAUUUUAUUUUUAAGUAAGAAAGCUUAAAUUUUUAUAAAAGACGAGAAGACCCUAUAGAGUUUUAUAUUUUGAAAAUUAAUUUAUAUUUGGAAUUUAAUAUUUUUAAUUUGUAAAUUUAUUUAAUUGGGGUGAUUGAAAAAUUUAAUUAACUUUUUUUUUAUUUAAACAGUAAUUAUUGGUUAAUUGAUCCUUAUAUUUAAGAUUAAAAGAGUAAAUUACCUUAGGGAUAACAGCGUAAUUUUUUUUUAGAGUUCAAAUUAAAAAAAAAGUUUGCGACCUCGAUGUUGGAUUAAAAUAAAAUUUUGGUGUAGAAGCUA
This 453-nucleotide ribosomal RNA is filed under the name Trichobaris mucorea. RNAcentral describes it as "partial small subunit ribosomal RNA". Lineage: Eukaryota; Metazoa; Arthropoda; Insecta; Coleoptera; Curculionidae. The record is from RNAcentral.